GCUGUGAUUGGGCAGCCAGGGGCCGGGCUCCAUGGGCGCGGAGCUGCCUGGCUCCGAGCGACCUCUUCUUAAGAACAUGAAGUAGUGGCUGUUUUUUUUUACUACACGGAGUUGCCAACGUUUGUGCGAUUUGCGGUCCAACUGUGGUGCGGCGAUCACAAUUUAUUUUUUUUUAUUAUUAUAUUUUUUUCUCGGGAUUUUUUUUUUCGGGAAAAAAAUCCCCCGUGUGUGUGUGUGAUGUUGGACAUGGGAGAUAAGAAAGAAGUGAAGAUGAUCCCCAAGUCUUCGUUCAGCAUAAACAGCCUGGUGCCCGAAGCGGUGCAGAGUGACAGCCGCCAGCGCGCUGGCCCCGAGCACGAUGACAAGCCAUGCUUGCCAGCUCUCGACACCAAGCCGGAGAACGCCGGCGGCAAAAGCGAGAGCAGCUCGGCGGAUCCAGUCGGCUCGGACGACAAGGACAAGCCCGAGGAGAAGAAGGCCGACGGCAAGGAGGCGGACGCCGGCAAGGAGGGCGAGAAGAAGAACGGCAAGUACGAGAAGCCCCCGUUCAGCUACAACGCCCUGAUCAUGAUGGCCAUCCGUCAGAGCCCGGAGAAGCGGCUCACCCUCAACGGCAUCUACGAGUUCAUCAUGAAGAACUUCCCGUAUUAUCGGGAGAACAAGCAGGGCUGGCAGAACUCCAUCCGACACAACCUCAGCCUGAACAAGUGCUUCGUCAAGGUGCCGAGGCAUUACGACGACCCUGGGAAGGGCAAUUACUGGAUGCUGGACCCAUCGAGCGACGAUGUCUUUAUAGGCGGCACCACUGGCAAGCUCCGCCGGAGAUCCACCACCUCUCGGGCCAAGUUAGCUUUCAAGCGGGGAGCGCGCCUCACCUCCACCGGCCUGACAUUCAUGGACAGGGCAGGUUCCUUAUACUGGCCAGUCUCGCCAUUCCUGUCCCUCCAUCACCCCCGAGCCAGCAGUACCUUGAGCUAUAAUGGAACCACCUCACCUUAUCCCAGCCACCCGAUGUCCUACAGCUCGGUAUUAACUCAGAACUCUCUGGCAAACAACCACUCCUUUCCAACUUCAAAUGGCUUAAGUGUAGAUAGACUUGUGAACGGAGAAAUUCCUUAUGCCACCCACCACCUAACGGCUGCAGCCGCCUUGGCUGCCUCGGUGCCGUGCGGUUUGUCUGUUCCAUGCUCCGGCACGUAUUCGUUAAACCCCUGCUCGGUGAACCUUCUGGCAGGACAGACAAGUUACUUUUUCCCCCAUGUUCCUCAUCCUUCAAUGACUUCUCAAAGCAGCACUUCAAUGACGGCUAGGACAGCAUCGUCCACGUCUCCACAGGCGCCUUCAACUCUCCCCUGUGAAUCUCUAAGACCUUCUUUGCCAAGUUUCUCCACAGGACUUUCUGGAGGACUUUCUGACUACUUCACACAUCAAAACCAGGGGCCCUCUUCAAACCCUCUAAUACACUAACAAAUCCCUUCGAACAGACUCUUGUCUCUGUGUUUCAAAAACACAAUGCACGUAUUCGAUUGUCUUUUGAACAUUACGCAUUUCUAGCACUAUCGACACCCAGCGGCUUCUCCUCUCACGGUGUAAACCCCAAGUCCCGGAGCUCAACUUGGCUCCAGAGAAAGGAGUGGACUCAAUUCCACUUGGCUAGGAGCAGAAUCGGCUCCCUGAUUUACACCAGAAAACUUUAGCGCCUGGAAAUCGCAUGGCACUGACCCUGCCAUAAUAAGAAGGCGGAUGCGUCGACGAUCAGAAAGGUGUACGCAAUUUAUCAGACAAUGUCGACUUAAAAGGAAAUCGGUGUUUAAGUCACAUGCUUCACUUUUCCAAUCAGCAAAACUUUGAGUGGUCAUGUUCAAACACAUUUGUGUGAAUAAAAUAUAUUGUUUAAUUGGUUUAUUGAAUAAUUGGUAAAAUGCAAAAAAGAGUAAGGAAUAAAAAUUUCGCUAUUUUGUGAGUAAUUAAUUUGACUUUUAGAAACGGUAACCAAGGUUAGCUUUGAAAUUGUAUGUGUCCGUGAAUCAGUUCAAGCUCUAUGUAGUAUUGGUUUGUUAUGAGAUACGGUGGAUUCAUUAUUAUUUGGCAAAGUAAAUGUGUUUGGAGUAUGAUUGAAAUAAUAUUUAUCAGCAAAACUUUAACAGCAUUAUCGUUGCAUUUUUAAUGCAAUUUAACAUUUUGACACCUGGAAUAUCUGAUAGACAUUCCAGUCGUUCAGGCUGCGUUUUCUUUUUAACAUGCUGCAAGGUUGUUUUAACCAUGUUGGGACUGCGCUACUAUUUAUUGUUCGGACACAUGCAGACGAAGUCCGCUAAAGAACACAUUUGAUGCUAUUAACUGGGAGUUUAAACGUUCAAUGAAUAUAAUAAAGCGAUUGAGCGAUAUUUGUAUGUUUGGUCUCAGGGAGUAAUAAUUUAGCUCUACCUCUUACGUUUAACUGCUCUUAAAUAUUCCAUUUUUGUUUCGCUAAAAUGGGCGCCUAUGUGUGCAUCGACUAAACAAAUUAUUGGUGCAUGUUUUACAAGUAUGCCUAGCAGCAGCAAUCAACUGCUCUCACUCCAGGGAUUUGAUUUGAGAAAUAAUGAAGGUGGGAUUUGCCAAACCUCGGUGCACCAACAGAUUUUAAAUCAGAAAAUGGCAUGGAAUAUAUAGAAUGAACAAUCGCUUUGCAACGGGAUAUGUUUUUUUGAUGAAAUUUAAAGUUAGCGGUCCCUUUAAAUUGGAAAGUAUCGGUCUGGUCAAUCCAUAUCCAGUUGCCUCGUCUACCCUUAAAACCAGAAAUGCGCACAUUUGUUCACCGCCCUGCCCUUCAAGGUCCUCGCCAUCGAAACAAAGGGCGUAGUCGAUUUUACAACACAGCAGUAACAGGAAGUGGAAUCAGCAUCGAGAAGACUUUUUUUUCCCUCCUUCUGGAAAUAGACUUAACCUGAAAUGGUUCAAACUGUAUAAGGGAGGCUAAGGAAAUAUUGAAGUCCAAGAGAAAACCCCAUGAUCUGAGUGAUGCCAAUAUUAAAACAUUAUUGAAAUAGCGUAAAUAAGAAAGGACUCUUCUGAUAAGUUCCGGAAAUGAAAAAUGUACUCCUAUGUAAUUACUUUGUAGAAAUCAUUUGGGACUCGGUGGGAUUUUAUUUGCGGAAGCAGUGUAAAUAACGUUCGAUUCUGAAUGGCGAACCAAUGUGCGUAAAACCUGGGCCUGGUGCUCAACAUUACAGGCAGCAUCGUUGGGGAGAAAACACAUCACCAAACUCUCAUACCCAACAUGGUCUAGACUAUACAUUAGACCAUAAAAAUCGUAGUUUAAAAUAGACUAAUUUUAAGAUUAUUCACAUUAACCAAAUGCCGAGUUUAAAUAUCAAAUUCGAGUAUUGCUAACAAACUGAUGGAGCUCAACAAGCCGACUUUCUCCAACAGUUUCUGUUUUUGAGACAACAAAUGACAUGCUCAGUAAGAGACCGAGACUGUAAGGACUGUAGGAUUUGAAAUAAUAAUUGCUAUUUUCUACCAACUUUAUUCUAAAUUACUCAUUCACCUCGGUUAAAAUAAACUACAACUGAAAUCGAAUUUGAUGUUUAAAAUACGUUUAUAGUGCCAAAAAAACCUACUGUUGAUAGCAUUGCGUAAACAUGUCAACCACACAUUUAGAAUGAGUCAUUUAUCGGGAAUUGGUCACAAAUUAUACGAGGUUUAAUUUGUAUUGAUUUGCGUGUUUAUCUAUUUGUGAAAAUUUUACGUAAUUGCAUCCAUAGUCAUUGGCUUGGUUUGAUAUUACCGUAUUGUUUUGAAACAAACUCCUUAUUAUCUGCGAAAAAUUGGCACAUGUUACAGUUGAGGUAUUAUAUCGAUGGUAGAUUGUCAUCAGCCUUGGUAAGGAUGACUGCGAGAAACAAAUGAACGAAAGUGUUCAAAUUUAAAUGCAAGAUUUUGAAGCGGAAAAUCAUAAUCAAAAUAAUUUUGUGAGAACUUUUUCCCAUUUAUAAGAGGUGUCUCUUAAAACAUACCUGCCCGAGCUAUUUUCAUAGCCGGAAGGGUAAAGGAGUAUUUCCACUUUAUGAGAACGUUUCUUGUGUGCGCAUUGAAGACAUAAAUUGGUGUUAACAGACGGUCCCACGUUUCUAUGUUGUCGCUACUGUUUUUCAGCAAUUGGGAACUGACAUCACUUUAUUUAAAUGUCAUAACUUGAAAUAUCAGUUUCAAUUAAUUCAUUAGCUUUGAGGAAUUUGGAAAUUGCUAUCUAAGUACAGUUUUUUUCCCCCCCUUGAAAACACUAAAAUCACAGGGAGUUGCCCUGCAGAAUAUUGAUUGGAGAAAUUGUAUGUGGGGUAGCUUUUAACUGUAAUCUAUUUAACAGCUGGCAUAAACAUGGAAUUGAUCAAAAACAGAUAAUUUCAUUGAAAAUUGAUUACCCCUCGCAAUUUACUGCCGUUUAUGUGGUAAUGAUUAUAUUUUACACUAAAUUGCUUUAAAUUUGUUUUAUGCGCCGAAUCAGACUUAAAGAAAUGGUACGAAACUUUACGCAUUUUGCGUGUGGGCCUGUCUCUAGCCUUGUGAAUCUGUUCCUGUCUGUAUUUGGCCCACCGAUAUCUGCUUCUGUGUGGGGGUAUCUAUCCUUGUGUGUCCGUAUCUGCUCUGUGCAUAUUUGUUCCUGUGUAUCUUCCUUUGUUUGGCUGCUCCUGUGUGUGUGUAUGUGUGUGUGUGUGUGUGUAUUUGUGUGUGUUUGUGCUUUCGCGUAUACCCUGUGUGCCAGCCCGUGUGAAUCUGCCUCUGUGUAUAUACCUGCUUGUGUGUAUCUGUCCCUAUGUGUGUUGAUCUUCCGUGUAUCGCUACAACCUGUGGAGUUGGAGCUGGUUUGGGAAGCGCUGUUUGAAAGCGCAGAUCUUUUCUUUCUUCUGACUCGCCGACCCAAUAGGUUGAGCUAAUGCUGAGGGCGUCGUGUGAAUGAACUAGAAAACACUCGACAGAUCGUGAAUAAUCGUUUUAAUGAGUGUGUAAAGCAUGCGACGGGGUGCAGAGAGCUGUCGGGUUAAACAAACAACUUGUACCCUGAUGUAAUCCGAUUGUUAAAGUGCAAAGUGGUGUCAUUCCAGUUUUCCGUUCUGUUGGUUAAAACCACAGCUCCAACACGCGGGAGUCCAAUUGUCCCAAUUAAAGAAAAAUAACAAUAUUUUCUUAACUUGAGUGUGAUCUUGUUUAAUGUUAGUCUGUGGUUUAGCCAAGCAUCAGUUCAGACAAAAAGGUGAUUUGUGAGCGCACUACAGUCUUUAAUCAAAGCCCAAGUUAAUACGUAAUAUGU
This is an RNA transcript of Stegostoma tigrinum, 5293 nucleotides long. It is a transcript of the gene named forkhead box G1a, with no coding region annotated. The transcript has 3 exons. The record is from RefSeq and is a predicted model, not a curated record. NCBI's taxonomy places the organism in Eukaryota, Metazoa, Chordata, Chondrichthyes, Orectolobiformes, Stegostomatidae.